AGCGUAGACGGCAUGGCAAGCCAGAUGUGAAAGCCCGGGGCUCAACCCCGGGACUGCAUUUGGAACUGUCAGGCUAGAGUGUCGGAGAGGAAAGCGGAAUUCCUAGUGUAGCGGUGAAAUGCGUAGAUAUUAGGAGGAACACCAGUGGCGAAGGCGGCUUUCUGGACGAUGACUGACGUUGAGGCUCGAAAGCGUGGGAGCAAACA
RNAcentral lists this ribosomal RNA (206 nucleotides) under uncultured bacterium. RNAcentral describes it as "partial 16S ribosomal RNA". It matches the Rfam family "Bacterial small subunit ribosomal RNA", at positions 568 to 774 of the family's 1533-position model. The record is from RNAcentral.